Long non-coding RNA from Malaclemys terrapin pileata, 1840 nucleotides. RefSeq lists it as uncharacterized. The transcript has 2 exons. Lineage: Eukaryota; Metazoa; Chordata; Testudines; Emydidae. The record is from RefSeq and is a predicted model, not a curated record.
GGAUGGAACGCAGCCCGGGCGCAUAGACCGUUGGGCCGCGCGGAGGGAACGCGACCAGGGCAAAUAGAACGUUGGCCCGGGCGGAUGGAACGCAGGCCCGGGAUCGUUGGCUGCUGCCUUCCACUGGCUGCUUUCGCCUGCUGCUAGCCCGUCAGGCGCGGUGGCCAAGUGGCUCUGGACCAUCUGCCGGAAAUCCAGGCGUGGAACCUUCCAAAUGAGGACUGGGGAGAGCAGUUGGGGGAUUCAUUUUCUGGCCCUGCAGUCGGGCGGGACAAGGGCUCAGGGACAGAGCUGUGGCUGGCAGAUCAGAGGAGUGUGUAGGUGACAGACAGAAAGAAGAGGAAGGCCCAGUGAGCUGCUGCCGCAUAGAUUGUGGAGCCAGCCCGGAUGACAAGCCGGGAAACCUGAAGAAUGUCUUCUCCCUCUCGGCCAAUGGCGAUGUUGCCCAGAGUAGAGGAGCUGUCCCUGCAGGGUAGAUCUUGUUUCAGCACAAAGUGGGGUAGGCUCCCUGCUCUCUGUACCCCCCAAGAUCUAUGGGCGUCGGUCCACCAAAUCCUCAGCCCUCCAGACCCCUCCCACCAAUGGGCAUGGGUCUAGGAAACCUCUCUGAGGCUCACCUUGCUGAGUUUCCCUUCCUGCGGGUUUUUCUGCAGGAGGGAACUGCUCUGGUUCAGUGACGCAGCUGGAAAGAAUGAUAAAAUGAAUAACACUCUGUCUCCUAAGAAGCAGUAUUGUUUUCCUGUUACCACAAUGGCAACUGCUGGAGAGGCAAAAUAAGCCUCCGAUUCAGCAAGUAAUCUCUCUGGCUUUUGCACCGCACGAGGCCAUGGGAGCCCCUGGAAUUUGACCUCCUCAGCUUUGCAUAGGCUUGGACAUAUUUUUUUCGCGCUGAAUGGCAGCAGUUGCUGCGCUGAACUCCAGCGAGAUGCCAGUUUAAGUUCCAAUUGGUAUGAGUGUAACAAAGCUUCAAUUAUGCCAAAUGUUUUAGUUCCCCCUAAGGGGCUACUUAUAAUCUCAUCUCCUCACCAGUACGUCUGACCUCUGCAGCAACAGGCCUGCACAUUUUAGGAGCUCCACUCCACCAUGUUACCGAGGCUAGGUCUCAGCCAGCAUUAGAAUUACCGCAGAGGAUGUUAAAGCUUCCGACUCCUCUUUGUGACUGUAGAAUUAAUGGAAAAAAACAGAGGUUCAGGGCCCAGUCCUGUAAACUUUGCACACAGGAGUAGUUGACAACAGGAGGGAGCACGGAUUACCCCGGUGAGUAAGGAUUUGCAAGAUCAGGACCAUAGUUUUUACUUUCAUGAGGUGUACAUUAGGGUAUAACUCCACAGAAGCCAGUGAAAUUGUAUGGCUGCAAAGACAAUGUAAACGAGAUCAGAGUCAGGCCUGGGAUGACUAACAGCUUCCAAAUUAUUAGUCCUCAUGUCUGAAUGGAGAACUAUUUCCUUUGCAUUCAGUACAAAACAAUACAGCUCCCCUGAAACAACAUGAAGAUUAUGAGGACAAAGCCAGGAUCCAGAAUUCCCAGUGAUGCACCACAUCAGCAGUAUAAAAAGCGCAUAAACUACAAACUUUCUGACUUUUAGAGUUUGUAUUGUUUUCCACCAUCUAAAGGAUACUGGACCAAAUCCAUCCCUGUACUAACAGUGACACCAGGAGCGACUUUGGCCCAAUAGUACUAAUAUCUUGGUUGAUUUGGGGCAAUGAUAUUAAACUGCAGCAUUGAACAUGUAGGAUAUUCCCUUUUUACAGAUGGGGAGAAAAGGCUGGGAGGGUCUGAACACACAGUCUGUCUCCUUACUGCCUCUGAAAUGUGCAUCAUAAAUCUUCAUGUGAAAUA